Long non-coding RNA from Herpailurus yagouaroundi (jaguarundi), 291 nucleotides. RefSeq lists it as uncharacterized. The transcript is spliced from 3 exons. The record is from RefSeq and is a predicted model, not a curated record. Lineage: Eukaryota; Metazoa; Chordata; Mammalia; Carnivora; Felidae.
AUCCUGGUGACGAUGUCACAGACAGCUCGCCCAGCACACGGGUGGGAGAAGGGCACACUACACAGGUCAAGACACACUCACCACAAAGUGACAGAGUGACAGGACCAAGGUCUUCAAGAUUUACAGAAUAAUUUUUAUCAGCUAUAAGACAUAAAAGGAAACAUCAUUUUAAAGGUCACGAUCUCAUGGUCCAGUUCGUGAAAUGGAGCCCCGAGUCAAGCUGGGCUCUAUGCUGACAGCAGGAAGCCUGUUUGGGAUUCUCUCUCCCUCUCUCUCUGCCCACCUACCCCC